RNAcentral lists this transfer RNA (71 nucleotides) under Paragonimus heterotremus. RNAcentral describes it as "tRNA-Asn". Lineage: Eukaryota; Metazoa; Platyhelminthes; Trematoda; Plagiorchiida; Troglotrematidae. The record is from RNAcentral.
GGUUGUGUAGAUUAUUUCUUUAAAUCCUAAGGCUGUUAACCUUAAGAAGAAUUUUGUUGAUUCUGCGGCCG